This 389-nucleotide ribosomal RNA is filed under the name uncultured bacterium. RNAcentral's name for it is "bacterial SSU rRNA". It matches the Rfam family "Bacterial small subunit ribosomal RNA", at positions 28 to 416 of the family's 1533-position model. The record is from RNAcentral.
GACGAACGCUGGCGGCGUGCUUAACACAUGCAAGUCGAGCGGUAAGGCCCUUUCGGGGGUACACGAGCGGCGAACGGGUGAGUAACGCGUGGGUGACCUGCCCUCAGCUCUGGGAUAAGCCUGGGAAACCGGGUCUAAUACCGGAUAUGACUCCAUGACGCAUGUUGUGGGGUGGAAAGCCUUGUGCGGCUGAGGAUGGGCCCGCGGCCUAUCAGCUUGUUGGUGGGGUGANGGCCUACCAAGGCGACGACGGGUAGCCGGCCUGAGAGGGCGACCGGCCACACUGGGAUUGAGACACGGGCCCAGACUCCUACGGGAGGCAGCAGGUGGGGAAUCUUGCGCAAUGGGCGAAAGCCUGACGCAGCGACGCCGCGUGAGGGAUGACGGCC